GCAGCCGCGGUAAUACGGGGGAUGCAAGCGUUAUCCGGAUUUAUUGGGUUUAAAGGGUGCGUAGGCGGUCUGGUAAGUCAGCGGUGAAAUUUCCGAGCUCAACUUGGAACGUGCCGUUGAUACUGCUGGACUAGAAUGCGGAUGCCGUGGGAGGAAUGUGUGGUGUAGCGGUGAAAUGCAUAGAUAUCACACAGAACACCGAUUGCGAAGGCAUCUCACGAAUCCGCGAUUGACGCUGAGGCACGAAAGCGUGGGGAUCAAACAGGAUUAGAUACCCC
Molecule: ribosomal RNA, 278 nt
Filed under: uncultured Dielma sp.
Lineage: Bacteria; Bacillati; Bacillota; Erysipelotrichia; Erysipelotrichales; Erysipelotrichaceae
Description: partial 16S ribosomal RNA
Rfam family: Bacterial small subunit ribosomal RNA
Source: RNAcentral